This is a non-coding RNA of Anas platyrhynchos (mallard), 166 nucleotides long. The record is from RefSeq and is a predicted model, not a curated record. NCBI's taxonomy places the organism in Eukaryota, Metazoa, Chordata, Aves, Anseriformes, Anatidae.
GCUCGGGGUUAGGCUGGGCAUCGGUCAGCGAGUGUAUCCCUGGCAAGAAGGGAGUCUGGAUGGAGAAGGGAGAAUCCUUGACUCUCCUAAAAAUAUAAGGUAGUUGCUGUUCCUUAGAUGUUGUUCCAGGCGCUGGAGCAGAAGUCCCCUGUGGCCUGUGGUGAGG